This 443-nucleotide ribosomal RNA is filed under the name uncultured bacterium. RNAcentral describes it as "partial 16S ribosomal RNA". It matches the Rfam family "Bacterial small subunit ribosomal RNA", at positions 338 to 795 of the family's 1533-position model. The record is from RNAcentral.
CCUACGGGAGGCAGCAGUGGGGAAUAUUGGGCAAUGGGCGCAAGCCUGACCCAGCAACGCCGCGUGAAGGAAGAAGGCUUUCGGGUUGUAAACUUCUUUUCUCAGGGACGAAGCAAGUGACGGUACCUGAGGAAUAAGCCACGGCUAACUACGUGCCAGCAGCCGCGGUAAUCCGUAGGUGGCAAGCGUUAUCCGGAUUUACUGGGUGUAAAGGGCGUGUAGGCGGGAAAGCAAGUCAGAUCUGAGAACCAUGGGCUCAACCUGUGGCCUGCAUUUGAAACUGUUUUUCUUGAGUACUGGUGAGACAGACGGAAUGCCUAGUGUAGCGGUGAAAUGCGUAGAUAUUAGGAGGAACACCAGUGGCGAAGGCGGUCUGCUGGACAGCAACUGACGCUGAGGCGCGAAAGCGUGGGGAGCAAACAGGAUUAGAUACCCCGGUAGUC